AAGCUAUGAAGUCUCAACCUAUCUUGAUUAAAUAGUGUUGAUUGACAGGCCAACAUAAGAGUACCUGUUUAUGAGUCAUGUAAUGUCAGAUUACAUAGCUAAUAUUUUUAUAUUAAGGUGUGAUAUGGCUUGUAAUUUUCUGACCAUAUAUAACUGGAGACACUCAAGAUAGCAAAUUAUGAACCGUGAAAGAGCAAAAUGUGGGCAGGACAAUUGAAGCACCAAGUUAGAUUGGUCGCGUCGGGCUAAUGACGACAGCAUAUUCCGCAUCAUGGAGGAGAGCCAUCAUACUCUGUAGGCUUACUUUGCAAGUAGAGCUAAUGUUUUGAGCCCGUUGAGAAAACAGUAGCAAUAGUUAUAUAAUACUUAUUUAUUCUUUUGGAUACAUUUUUCCAAAGUCCACAGUCUUUUCUAGCUUUUUGUCCCAGAAAUAACUGAAUUUGAUUCAUAUAUUGUAUAGCAUGUCAAAAUAUCAGUACAUUUGUCAGGCAAAAUAAACAAUUUUAACAGCUAUCUAAAAUACUUUCCAAUUUCAUGUCAUCUUGGAAUAUGCCUAUGCUGUCAGGGAAGAAAAAAUCUAUUAAUGGAAUAACCUGGUCAUUCAGUACAUCCAGGUAGUCAGCUGACCUUAUUCUUUGAGCACAUAUUGUUGCUGAACCUGACCAGCUCAUCAGUCCAAGUGGCAACCUUUUUCUUGGCCAGGCAGUGUAGUAUAUAAUAUUAAAUACAAGUGUGCUUUUGUAAUUCCACUGCAUGCUUUUCUGUCCACCAUUCCACUAUACUUAUAGCCUAUAUGUAAGUUUUUUCUUAUUUAUUGUAUUUUUUACUUUAUGUUGUCUCCUGUUUGUAUUGACUCCUAUUUAGCUCUGUUCACUCUAAUUAUAUUUUAUAUUAUAAAUAUUUUAUAUAUCGCAAUGUGGUAUAAUGUAUAUUUUAUCUUUCUUACUUUUCUCAAUUAAACCACAGUAAAUACCAAGCAAUUUUAUCUUGCCACCAUAGGUUGUCUUUCUAUACAUAGACUAUAAGGUGACAACAUUUAUUUGGCAAUAAAUUCACUUUAUAAAUUAACUCUUUACUAAUAAAUGGUCUAUUGGUCCAGUACAUGAACCACUUACAUCUUGCUGGUGAGAGCCAGAUGUUUCCCCUUAUUAGCUGAGGAGAGACAAGAGAACAUGGAUUAGCCUAAGUCAGUAACCAGGACAGUAGGGUAAAAUCAAUUCAAAAUGAAUCUCUACAUACAUGCGAGUGAAGGGAUGAGGAAACAACACAUAGAGGAGGUGGCUGGUUUGAUGCACAGUAAGAUCUGGAGAUGAAGAGUGGGAAUGUAGUAUGUAGAGACAAAAUAGCUGGACCGGUAACUAGAGUGGGGAAGCUGGUUUUCUGGGUUGUUACAUGCCUACACUCUAGGCAUGAUAUGAGCAAUGACAUGAUAUGGGAGUAGGACUUACACAAAUUGUCUGUAGUCGGCAGCUUGACUUUGAUGGAAGCAGAAACAUGAAAAGGCAAGGUAACGAGAAAUAUGUGCACAUUUUACUUAAGAAACCAAAUUCUUUUUGUGCCUUUUUCCUCCUGCUCUUUUUUGAUGGAUACGCAUACUAUUCCAUCACUUCAGUCCCUGGUUCAUGCAGUCACCCGUUGCUGCUCAACUGUCCCUGCCCAGCUUCUGUUGAUAUUAGUAAUAACACAUUUAACUAUGUCACUGUCCAGCUGUGCUUGAUUUUUGGUAAUUGGAGUCAUACUAAACACGACCACAUUAUGUUUCAUUUGUUGAUCUACUAUAAACCUGACCUCUUCUUUGCCUAUCAUGUUUAUUGGACUCGGACUGCAGUUUGGACUUAACUUUUGCCUGUUCCCCUUAAAGAAUGUAAUUCGGAUGUUUUGGCUUUUCUUGAUUAUAAGAUUUUUACUUGGGUAUUGUGUUGCCUACUCAUACCUUUGUUGAAAGUAAUAAAAAAGAGGUUUUUAUUUUUAAUAAAGAGAUCCAUUCGAAGACACUAUGUAGUUUACAGUGAUUUCGUAGAUAGGUUUUGUUGACCACUUCCCCAAGUUAGGUAUAUGAUUUUCCUUUCAGUUCUGCAGGUGUUGGUGAAGUGUUUUAUUAGCUGUACAGAUUGUACAGGUGUCUACGUAUCUUAUGAUGUCCUGCUGCAGGCUCAGCUACCAGAACCUUUUUGCAAUCAGUAUUGCUGUCCUAGUUCUUGUUGCCACAGUACGAAUGCCAAUCCCCUGAGUGGCCACGUUGAGUGAGACAAAGAAGCUUUGCUCCUGUCAGUCUGUGAUAUGCAGAGGGAAUAAAAAUGAACAUGAUAUACUCUGCUAACUUUUUAGCUGUGGAGCAGCGCUUGUCAUUCUGCUUCUCACAGUGCACACCUGCCAAACAAAGAAAGACCUGCACACCUGAUAUACCCAAAGAAUCAAUUGAGUGGAGCAAAAUGACACUAAAAGGUAACAACUAGGCAGGCACAUAACCUGGUUGGUGAAGGACUUAGCUAACUGUAUCUCAAUGGAAUGGAAAAAUGAAUGUCAUGGAUUCAAUAAAUCAAAGCAUUUCUUCAUCUGGAUCCAAUUCUUUGCAAAAAAGGUAAGGUGAGUCACUGAUUCACACUGAGAUCAGUGGUUUGUAUUUUGCUGUCCACUGUGUUAUGACUGAUUGGCCGUGUUCAUAUACUUGGUUGCAAGCUGUAUUGUUUGAAGGCAAAAUGAGUCGAUUUGACAAAACAGGUUAAAGCGACUAAUGAAAACUGUACAGUAAAAGAGGAAUUGUUGGCACAGGACUGGGAUUUAAUUUACAAAGAAAAAGAUAUUUAAACAAGUCUGCAUGCAUUUGUAAUGUACUCCCUUUAUAACCCCACUUAGAAUUUUCACCUGCCUACAUAAUAAGUCCUGAACAAGGAAGGACUAGGGGAAAAGCAGUCACUGUAGUUGUACUGUAGUUGACCAUGUCAUUGUUCAUGGUGGCAAUGAAGGAGGGUGGACAAUGAGUGCAGCCACAUUUGAGUGGCUUCACUGUUGCCUCCAUCAUCAGAACUUUCAGGGAGCAAAACCGGUCACUGUCCUUACAGUAAGGCUGUCUGUACAGUAACAUUAGAGUACAGAAACUGUGUCACUCUAACGUUACUGUAGAGUGUACUGUACAUUACUGUACCAUUGCCUGGCUAGUGUAAUAUAGCCUGUGAUGAGGUUUUUGGGUUCAUGUUUGAGGGCUUGUGAGUGACGGCAAAGGUUGGCUUUGCACCAUUGAAGAUAACCUUUGGAGCAAAACCAUUCAUUUUACAAUUUUUAUUGAUUGCUUUGCAGUCGUUCAAUGAAACGCCACAUUUAUAAAACAGUUACAGUUUUUGCCUAUUGCUUACACUAAAAGUGAAUGCUUAGAAAAAGGUUUACACUUUGGUCUCAAUUCUGUAACACACUUAUUGCAAAACACUACACACUAGACACUUUGUUAACAACCCCAACCACCUGUUGUCAUUGAGAAAACCCUUUGCAAUUGUAGUCACUCACAUACACAUCUGAAAGCACCUACACAAAAACAUGACACAAAUCAGUCUGAGCCUCAGCUCUUCAAAUAGGCCCCAGGUCAGAUGUGUGGAGAACUAUACAAACAUGGAGACAGUAAAAGUCCACACGCACGCACGCACACACGUACUUUUUUACAUUGUUUUCUUCUUUACCUUUUGUUGCUUAAUUUCUGUAAGAAUGUUUUCAAACUCAUAAUGGAAACAACUAACUCCAGACUGGUUGCGUUGACAAGGGAAGUACAAUAUGUAAAAACAAGUUUACAGCUCACACAGAAGGAAGUGGACGAUAUAAAAAUUUAAAAAAGCUAAAGAAAUGAAGCGUUGUGAUGCAGUGCAGUCUCAUGUCUUCAAAGUUUGCAAGGGCAUGCUGACUAUUACCGGAAAAAUUGAGUAUCUGAAGGUCAAUUCAGACGUAACAACCUGGUUGUCAUUGCCAUUAAUUGAAGAAGAAACGGAUUUGCCUCCACUCGUCAGUUUACUCCUGUCAGCUCCAUUUAAUUCGGUAAGUAUUCUUGCCUAAAAUAAUUCGUAUAUUGAUUAAUUCAUAAGUAUAUGCUUUAUAUUGUCAUUGGAUUAGUCAGCAUUUGUUCAUCAACUGACAUGUAACUAUUUGCUGUCGUGCUGCGUCAACUUCAGCUACACUAAUGAAAAAAGUCCAAGCUGGCGCCAUUACUGUUACUACGCAGCUAAGUUAUUUAGCAUUAUUCGUAGUGGUAAGCAGACAGUAAUAGUGAAAGAAUACACUGUAGGUUCGGUUUGUACUCAAAUGUUUUGUAAAUGUCCCAGAAUUAAACUUAUUAGACGGUAAAAUUGUAUCUAUUGGAAAAACUGAGCGCAGGUGAAUGCUAGCAAGACUAGCAAGGUUUUCUGCUUUUUAAAAAAAAAAUCAAGGAGAGGUACCAGUAAGUAGCUGCGGUCGGUUUCAGACAGGAGUUCACUUUAUCGGGCUUGGGCUUUAGUUGGUCAGUCACCGCUGGUGAGGACGUGUUCUUUGAGCGAGCGCGUGACUAGCCCGCUAAAAGGGCUCCGGCCAUUUUUCUGUGAAAUUAAGCCGUAAUGUCUGUGUGCUACUCAAACAUCUCUACUGCUUCUGCUGCAGAACCGCUUUUGACGCUAUAUUGCCUCAGCAAAGACUUGUUCUGUGAUUGAAAAGACAAGCUCCAUCAUGUCAUGGACUCAGUUUUUGUGUGAAUGGUGAUGCAGAAUGUGGCGUUGUAAGGCCUGCCCCUUAGUUAGUUCCAAAUAUUAAGGCAUGGCUAUUAUGGUAAUAAUAAUUGUUUUCCAUGUGUGUAUAAAAGCUGCUCAUACACUUUUAGAACAUAAAAUGGGCACAAGGGUUUUGUAUAUUUAGUGAACAUAGUCCUGGAACUGCAUAAAGUCUUAUUGCAUUUUAUGUGAUUAGUUAUUUGGCUGAACCCCCCUCAGCCAAAUAAUAAACAAGACUGGCUAUGGAUACCGACUCCGGAACGGGGCCACCAUAAGUCACCUCCUCUACAUGGAUGACAUCAAGCUGUACGCUAAGAAUGAGCGAGACAUCGACUCGCUGAUCCACACCACAAGGAUCUACAGCUCGGACAUCGGGAUGUCAUUCGGGCUCGAGAAAUGUGGGAGGAUGGUGACAAAGAGAGGCAAGGUAAUCCACACAGAAGGGGUCUCACUCCCAGAAUGAACAAUAGCAGACAUUGUGGACAAUUACAAGUACCUUGGAAUACCACAGGCGAACGGCAACCUUGAACAGGCAACAAGGAAUGCGGCAACAGCCAAAUACCUCCAACGAGUAAGGCAAGUCCUAAGAAGCCAGCUCAAUGGCAAGAACAAAUACCGGGCAAUAAACAGCUACGCCCUGCCAGUGAUCAGAUACCCUGCGGGAAUAAUAAGGUGUCCAAAGGAAGAGAUACAGACCACAGAUGUUAAGACACGAAAGCUUCUCACCAUGCAUGGAGGGUUCCACCCCAAAUCCAGCACCCUGAGACUAUACGCUAGCCGCAAGGAAGGAGGCCGAGGACUAGUGAGCAUGAGAGCCACUAUCCGGGAUGAAACAUGCAAGAUCCAUAAGUACAUCAAGGAUAAGGCCCCGACAGAUGACGUGCUGAGUGAAUGACUCAGGCAGUGGAGAACAGAGGAUGAGAUGCUGGAAGAGGGACCAUCAUGGGAGGACAAGCCCUUACACGGGAUGUACCACCGGAACAUAACUGAAGUGGCUGAUCUCAACAAAUCCUACCAAUGGCUUGAAAGGGCUGGGCUGAAGGACAGCACAGAGGCACUCAUCCUGGCUGCACAGGAGCAGGCCCUGAGCACCAGAGCCAUAGAGGCCCAGAUCUACCACACCAGACAAGACCCAAGGUGUAGACUGUGCAAAGAGGCCCCUGAGACGAUCCAGCACAUAACUGCAAGGUGUAAGAUGCUGGCAGGGAAAGCAUACAUGGAACGCCAUAACCAAGUGGCUGGCAUAGUAUACAGGAACAUCUGCGCGGAGUAUGGACUGGAAACCCCAAGGUCAAAGUGGGAAACACCUCCCAAGGUAGUAGAGAAUGAGGGAGCCAAGAUCCUGUGGGACUUCCAGAUACAGACAGACAGAAUGGUAAUGGCGAACCAACCAGACAUUGUGGUGGUGGACAAAGAGCAGAGGAAAGCCGUAGUGGUGGAUGUGGCAAUACCAAGCGAUGGCAACAUCAUGAAAAAAGGAACAUGAGAAACUAGAGAAAUACCAAGGGCUCAGAGAAGAACUGGAGAAGGCUUGGUGAAGGCCACAGUGGUGCCUGUGGUGAUUGGAGCACUGGGGGCAGUGACCCCCAAACUGGAGGAGUGGCUACAACAGAUCCCUGGAAAAACAUCCAACAUCUCAGUCCAGAAAAGUGCAGUCCUAGGAACAGUAGGGAUACUGCGCAGAACCCUCAAGCUCCCUGGCCUCUGGUAGAGGACCCGAGCUUGGAAAGUGGAUGAGACCACCCACGGAGGGUGAGAAUAGAGUGUGUAUAUAUAUAUAUAGAGAGAGAGAGAUUAUAUUGAGACAAGAUCACAACCUCACAAUUGUUUUCAUCCUUGCCACUGACAAUAUCACUAAAAUGCUAUAUAUUUAUUUGUUUUUAAUCUUGGAUAAUGACAUCGAUGCCUCAGAAAGUGUGUCAUGAAAGGACUUAGCAUAUACCUUAACGAGGAUCCUAAUGGUCUACUACAGGAGUACACGGACAUGACUGAGGCCAACACCAAGAGCAAUCAAGAGAACAACAGUGGAGAUGUUGCCAGAGAGACUCAUACCAGUGACUGUUCGGAUAUUGGAGUAAUCCUUGAGGGUGUGGUGAUACUUACUGUAAAGAUCUGGACAACGUGGCCCUCACAUCUGCCUUGCUGUUUGGACUUUUUUUAUGUCUUUUAAAUGUGAAGUACCUAAAAAGCUUCAAUACACCUUUUUAAAGCUAUUCAAAAUGGAGUUAGAUGAAGUAAAACUGUCAAAGAAGGUUCAAAGCUUGGAAACUAAACUUCACUAAUGGGACAGUCAGCAUUCAUGUUCCUGGAGCACUGUAGCUUUGAGACCAAGAACAUUUUGAGUAGGUUGGAUAACCUCUAGUUCUGCAUACUGAAUACUGUAGUUCUUUUAAAACCUAUCUAAAGUAUGUGAUGUUUUAGUAAUAACUGUUUGUUCCUUAAAUUUUGAAUUAAUCAUCAAUUUGCUUUUGUACAGUUAAAAUUACAUUGCAGUUAUUUGCAUUUGAUAAAUCUUUGUAUUGGUGCCUUUUAAGGUGCCCUUGGUAUCUGUUCUACAGUAUGUGGUCAUGUGACAUUAUGCAUUAAAAGUGUAGACAAAAAUAAAAUGCAUUGUUAAAACUGUA
Betta splendens (Siamese fighting fish) is the source of this 7348-nucleotide long non-coding RNA. RefSeq lists it as uncharacterized. The transcript has 4 exons. The record is from RefSeq and is a predicted model, not a curated record. NCBI's taxonomy places the organism in Eukaryota, Metazoa, Chordata, Actinopteri, Anabantiformes, Osphronemidae.